CCUACGGGAGGCAGCAGUGAGGCAUAUUGGUCAAUGGGAGAGAUCCUGAACCAGCCAAGCCGCGUGAGGGAAGACGGCCCUAUGGGUUGUAAACCUCUUUUGUCGGAGAACAAAACCCGGGACGUGUCCCGGCCUGCGUGUAUCCGAAGAAAAAGCAUCGGCUAACUCCGUGCCAGCAGCCGCGGUAAUACGGAGGAUGCGAGCGUUCUCCGGAUUUAUUGGGUUUAAAGGGUGCGUAGGCGGUCCGUUACGUCAGCGGUAAAAUGUCGGGGCUCACCCCCAUCGAGCCGUUGAAACUGGCAGACUUGAGUUGGCGAGAAGUACGCGGAAUGCGCGGUGUAGCGGUGAAAUGCAUAGAGAUCGCGCAGAACUCCGAUUGCGAAGGCAGCGUACCGGCGCCAGACUGACGCUGAGGCACGAAAGCGUGGGGAUCGAACAGGAUUAGAUACCCGAGUAGUC
RNAcentral lists this ribosomal RNA (459 nucleotides) under uncultured bacterium. RNAcentral describes it as "partial 16S ribosomal RNA". It matches the Rfam family "Bacterial small subunit ribosomal RNA", at positions 338 to 795 of the family's 1533-position model. The record is from RNAcentral.